AGUACGGCUGCAAGGUUAAAAGUCAAAUGAAUAGACGGGGGCCCGCACAAGCGGUGGAGCAUGUGGUUUAAUUCGAUGCAACGCGAAGAACCUUACCUGGUCUUGACAUCCACAGAACUUUCCAGAGAUGGAUUGGUGCCUUCGGGAACUGUGAGACAGGUGCUGCAUGGCUGUCGUCAGCUCGUGUUGUGAAAUGUUGGGUUAAGUCCCGCAACGAGCGCAACCCUUAUCCUUUGUUGCCAGCGGUUCGGCCGGGAACUCAAAGGAGACUGCCAGUGAUAAACUGGAGGAAGGUGGGGAUGACGUCAAGUCAUCAUGGCCCUUACGACCAGGGCUACACACGUGCUACAAUGGCAUAUACAAAGAGAAGCGACCUCGCGAGAGCAAGCGGACCUCAUAAAGUAUGUCGUAGUCCGGAUUGGAGUCUGCAACUCGACUCCAUGAAGUCGGAAUCGCUAGUAAUCGUAGAUCAGAAUGCUACGGUGAAUACGUUCCCGGGCCUUGUACACACCGCCCGUCACACCAUGGGAGUGGGUUGCAAAAGAAGUAGGUAGCUUAACCUUCGGGAGGGCGCUUACCACUUUGAUCAGGGCC
This 594-nucleotide ribosomal RNA is filed under the name Klebsiella pneumoniae. RNAcentral's name for it is "bacterial SSU rRNA". It matches the Rfam family "Bacterial small subunit ribosomal RNA", at positions 879 to 1476 of the family's 1533-position model. Lineage: Bacteria; Pseudomonadati; Pseudomonadota; Gammaproteobacteria; Enterobacterales; Enterobacteriaceae. The record is from RNAcentral.